GUAACUUUGGGUUUGACAGCUAGGUCUAGAGGGAAGUUGUGAGCAUUAUGUUCAUGCAUUACUUCCAUACCAAGGUCAGCACGAUUGAUGAUAUCAGCCCAAGUGUUGAUAACACGACCCUGACUGUCAACUACAGAUUG
This is a non-coding RNA of Phoenix dactylifera (date palm), 140 nucleotides long. NCBI's taxonomy places the organism in Eukaryota, Viridiplantae, Streptophyta, Magnoliopsida, Arecales, Arecaceae. The record is from RefSeq and is a predicted model, not a curated record.